CCUAUGGGGGGCAGCAGGCGCGAAAACUUUACAAUGUGGGAAACCGUGAUAAGGGAACUCUGAGUGCCCGUAAAAUUGGGCUGUCCAUCAGUUUAAAUAACUGGUGAAGAAAGGGCCGGGUAAGACCGGUGUUAGCCGCCGUGGUAAUAUUGGCGGCUCGAGUGGUGGCCACUAUUAUUGGGCUUAAAGUGUUCGUAGCUGGUUUGUUAAGUCUCUGGGGAAAUCUUCCGGUUUAACCGGAAGGUGUCUCAGGGAUAUUGGCAGACUAGGGACCGGAAGAGGUGAGAGGUACUCCAGGGGUAGGAGUGAAAUCCUGUAAUCCUUGGGGGAUUACCUGUGGUGAAGGUGUUUCACCAGAACGGUUCCGAUAGUGAGGGACGAAAGCUGGGGGAGCAAACCGGAUUAGAUACCCCUGUAGUCC
This 421-nucleotide ribosomal RNA is filed under the name uncultured Methanomicrobiales archaeon. Its description in RNAcentral is "bacterial SSU rRNA". It matches the Rfam family "Archaeal small subunit ribosomal RNA", at positions 322 to 747 of the family's 1478-position model. Lineage: Archaea; Methanobacteriati; Methanobacteriota; Methanomicrobia; Methanomicrobiales. The record is from RNAcentral.